UGGGGAAUAUUGGACAAUGGGCGAAAGCCUGAUCCAGCCAUGCCGCGUGUGUGAAGAAGGUCUUCGGAUUGUAAAGCACUUUAAGUUGGGAGGAAGGGCAGUAAGCGAAUACCUUGCUGUUUUGACGUUACCGACAGAAUAAGCACCGGCUAACUCUGUGCCAGCAGCCGCGGUAAUACAGAGGGUGCAAGCGUUAAUCGGAAUUACUGGGCGUAAAGCGCGCGUAGGUGGUUCGUUAAGUUGAAUGUGAAAGCCCCGGGCUCAACCCGGGAACUGCAUCCAAAACUGGCGAGCUAGAGUAGGGCAGAGGGUGGUGGAAUUUCCUGUGUAGCGGUGAAAUGCGUAGAUAUAGGAAGGAACACCAGUGGCGAAGGCGACCACCUGGGCUCAUACUGACACUGAGGGGCGAAAGCGUGGGGAGCAAACAGG
RNAcentral lists this ribosomal RNA (429 nucleotides) under Pseudomonadota bacterium. Its description in RNAcentral is "Proteobacteria bacterium partial 16S ribosomal RNA". It matches the Rfam family "Bacterial small subunit ribosomal RNA", at positions 355 to 776 of the family's 1533-position model. Lineage: Bacteria; Pseudomonadati; Pseudomonadota. The record is from RNAcentral.